Molecule: ribosomal RNA, 932 nt
Filed under: uncultured bacterium
Lineage: Bacteria
Description: bacterial SSU rRNA
Rfam family: Bacterial small subunit ribosomal RNA
Source: RNAcentral
UGNNAGUCGAACGGCAGCACGGGGGCAACCCUGGUGGCGAGUGGCGAACGGGUGAGUAACAUAUCGGAACGUGCCCUGGAGUGGGGGAUAACUAGUCGAAAGAUUAGCUAAUACCGCAUACGAUCUACGGAUGAAAGUGGGGGAUCGCAAGACCUCAUGCUCGUGGAGCGGCCGAUAUCUGAUUAGCUAGUUGGUGGGGUAAAGGCCUACCAAGGCAUCGAUCAGUAGCUGGUCUGAGAGGACGACCAGCCACACUGGGACUGAGACACGGCCCAGACUCCUACGGGAGGCAGCAGUGGGGAAUUUUGGACAAUGGGCGCAAGCCUGAUCCAGCAAUGCCGCGUGAGUGAAGAAGGCCUUCGGGUUGUAAAGCUCUUUUGUCAGGGAAGAAACGGUGGAGGUUAAUACCUUCUGCUAAUGACGGUACCUGAAGAAUAAGCACCGGCUAACUACGUGCCAGCAGCCGCGGUAAUACGUAGGGUGCAAGCGUUAAUCGGAAUUACUGGGCGUAAAGCGUGCGCAGGCGGUUGUGCAAGACAGAUGUGAAAUCCCCGGGCUCAACCUGGGAAUUGCAUUUGUGACUGUACGGCUAGAGUGUGUCAGAGGGGGGUAGAAUUCCACGUGUAGCAGUGAAAUGCGUAGAGAUGUGGAGGAAUACCGAUGGCGAAGGCAGCCCCCUGGGAUAACACUGACGCUCAUGCACGAAAGCGUGNNNGCAAACAGGAUUAGAUACCCUGGUAGUCCACGCCCUAAACGAUGUCUACUAGUUGUCGGGUCUUUAUUGACUUGGUAACGCAGCUAACGCGUGAAGUAGACCGCCUGGGGAGUACGGUCGCAAGAUUAAAACUCAAAGGAAUUGACGGGGACCCGCACAAGCGGUGGAUGAUGUGGNUUAAUUCGAUGCNACGCGAAAAACNUUACCUACCCUUGAC